Molecule: ribosomal RNA, 490 nt
Filed under: Escherichia coli
Lineage: Bacteria; Pseudomonadati; Pseudomonadota; Gammaproteobacteria; Enterobacterales; Enterobacteriaceae
Description: bacterial SSU rRNA
Rfam family: Bacterial small subunit ribosomal RNA
Source: RNAcentral
AAAUUGAAGAGUUUGAUCAUGGCUCAGAUUGAACGCUGGCGGCAGGCCUAACACAUGCAAGUCGAACGGUAACAGGAAGAAGCUUGCUUCUUUGCUGACGAGUGGCGGACGGGUGAGUAAUGUCUGGGAAACUGCCUGAUGGAGGGGGAUAACUACUGGAAACGGUAGCUAAUACCGCAUAACGUCGCAAGACCAAAGAGGGGGACCUUCGGGCCUCUUGCCAUCGGAUGUGCCCAGAUGGGAUUAGCUAGUAGGUGGGGUAAUGGCUCACCUAGGCGACGAUCCCUAGCUGGUCUGAGAGGAUGACCAGCCACACUGGAACUGAGACACGGUCCAGACUCCUACGGGAGGCAGCAGUGGGGAAUAUUGCACAAUGGGCGCAAGCCUGAUGCAGCCAUGCCGCGUGUAUGAAGAAGGCCUUCGGGUUGUAAAGUACUUUCAGCGGGGAGGAAGGGAGUAAAGUUAAUACCUUUACUCAUUGACGUUACCC